ACUCAACACCGGCAAUCACAUCAGCCAUGGUACCAGAUCCACUGGAACGGAGAACCUUGACAGCAACGAUUUCAGCCUUCUUUGCAACACCAUAAGCACGGCUAGCAAUGGUACCAGCAACAUGCGUACCAUGACCAUUGUUAUCCUCAUCAACAUCACCAGAGGGAAUGGUUGCACCCCAAGAAGCGCGACCUUCGAACUCAACAUGAUGAAUGCUUACACCGGUAUCUACAACAUAAGCGGUGAUGUUGUCACCAGCGCUGGAA
Non-coding RNA from Schizosaccharomyces pombe (fission yeast), 266 nucleotides. The record is from the annotation of a GenBank genome assembly. NCBI's taxonomy places the organism in Eukaryota, Fungi, Ascomycota, Schizosaccharomycetes, Schizosaccharomycetales, Schizosaccharomycetaceae.